Long non-coding RNA from Nerophis ophidion (straightnose pipefish), 876 nucleotides. RefSeq lists it as uncharacterized. The transcript is spliced from 4 exons. The record is from RefSeq and is a predicted model, not a curated record. NCBI's taxonomy places the organism in Eukaryota, Metazoa, Chordata, Actinopteri, Syngnathiformes, Syngnathidae.
CCCACGUAGCCUUGAGCACACCUGUCACCAAUCACCAUACCUACUUACAGUGAUUGCACACACCUGUCCCUUCAAACAAAAAGUGAGCUGUUUGGCCACAAUACCCAGGAGUAUGUUUGGAGGAGAAAAGUACUACCGCCACCCCGCAGAGGGCAACCGAGGGGCAUAUGUGACACAGUGAAGCAGCAGUGGGGUGAGUAGAAGAAGACUCAUGCGGACAAGCAGCAACAUGGAAGAAAUGGCGGCAUGGAAGCUUCAUCACGAAACUUGAUCAAACAUUCGCGACCAGUCAAAGGUGUACCAAGCCUUGCUGGGAUACGCUCUGGCUUGAGGUCACCCUGAACCCAAUCAGGGUACUGAGGUUCAUCUUCCUCAACAUGGUGGCGCUCUUCCUCCUCCUCUUCCCUCUCUUGCUGAUGCAGCUCUACCUGCGUGGGCUCCUUCGUCUGAGACGGCCUCAGCAGAAACUCCAGCUCCUCUGCACUGAUAGCCACCUUUUCUGGGACCAACCACCUCUUGAAGUGUUCCAGGGCGCUAGGAAGGAAGACACAAGUUACAGGUCUUUUCCAAAGUCAAUACAAAUAUGUCCGAUCAGUCACACAAGCUGGGAAAACAAUGUCAUCAACCCAUCCAUCCAUUUUCUACCACUUGUCCCUAUCAGGGUCGGGGGGGGGGUGGGUGUUCCCCACAUCUACGGUCCUCUCUAAGGUUUUCUCAUUGUCCCAUUGGGUUCAGUUUUUCCUUGCCCUGAUGUGGGAUCUGAACCGUCAUCAUUGUGUCUUGUGCAGCCCUUUGAGACAAUUUUGAUUUAGGGCUAUAUAAAUUAGGGCUGCAACAACUAAUCGUUUGAAUCGAUUAAAAUCUGUUAUAAAAAUA